Molecule: long non-coding RNA, 636 nt
Organism: Acanthochromis polyacanthus (spiny chromis)
Lineage: Eukaryota; Metazoa; Chordata; Actinopteri; Pomacentridae
Exons: 4
Source: RefSeq, a predicted model, not a curated record
ACAGAAUUUUCAUGAGAUUUUUUUCCUUUUUUUACAGUGCAUGAUUGUUCUACUAAUAGAUCCUGAUGUCACUACGUGAGGAAAAAUCUGCUCUUUUGUGUGUAAAUAUGUACAAAUGUCGACCUCCUGAAUCAUCUCUAAUGGAAUAAAGGUUCAACAGGAAGUAAAUAUUUAUGAAAAUAGGCAGAAACUGUUCACAAGUGAAGAAUGAGCCCAAAUAAAUCCAUCAGUGUCCAUGAUGUCCAUGCCUUUGUAGAGUAAAGCAUCGUUGGUGUCCACAGGGGAGACUGAUGAAAUCAUCCUUAUGUGCUGCAGAGUGUUUCACAGCUGGAACGGUGAACACAUGUGAGGACAAAACGGGAAUUCGUUGGCAUUUUCCACUCAGCUGAAGAGGAACCUUUACAUCCCUCCUGCAGACGGAUCAUUGGAGCCGCCGGACAAAGAGGCGUUUGUGUCCUACCUGGGGUUUUGUCCUGCAGGGAGAAGCCGAUCCACAGCAGGAAGCAGGUCCAGGUUUUCCUCCUUGGAUCUCUCUGGGUGGUUCUGGCAUCACACAGAUACAAGAGAGAGAGGGAAAAAAAGCAUAAUUAGAGGCACAUUCCUGCCGAUGUGGACACAGGAAGGUAGAACGUGACG